RNAcentral lists this ribosomal RNA (253 nucleotides) under uncultured bacterium. RNAcentral's name for it is "partial 16S ribosomal RNA". It matches the Rfam family "Bacterial small subunit ribosomal RNA", at positions 524 to 776 of the family's 1533-position model. The record is from RNAcentral.
UACGUAGGGGGCAAGCGUUAUCCGGAAUUACUGGGUGUAAAGGGUGAGUAGGCGGUACGGCAAGUCAUAUGUGAAAAUCCGAGGCUUAACCUGGGACGUGCAUAAGAAACUGCCGAACUAGAGUACAGGAGAGGUAAGCGGAAUUCUUAGUGUAGCGGUGAAAUGCGUAGAUAUUAAGAAGAACACCAGUGGCGAAGGCGGCUUACUGGACUGAAACUGACGCUGAGUCACGAAAGCGUGGGGAGCAAACAGG